GGGGUGAGAGAACGUGGCUCUUAGCUCCCCCAGCCGGACCCCUGCCCCCCAGGCCAAGCCCAUCCCUGCCCCAG
Molecule: microRNA precursor, 74 nt
Filed under: Pelodiscus sinensis (Chinese soft-shelled turtle)
Lineage: Eukaryota; Metazoa; Chordata; Testudines; Trionychidae
Description: miRNA (ENSPSIG00000019939.1)
Source: RNAcentral